This 1650-nucleotide long non-coding RNA is filed under the name Oncorhynchus mykiss (rainbow trout). RNAcentral's name for it is "lncRNA (ENSOMYG00000073994.1)". Lineage: Eukaryota; Metazoa; Chordata; Actinopteri; Salmoniformes; Salmonidae. The record is from RNAcentral.
UCCUUUGGUCUGAUGAGUCCAAAUCGGAGAUUUUUGGUUCCAACCGUCGUGUCUUUGAAAGAUGCAGAGUAGGUGAAUAGAUGAUCUCUGCAUGUGUGGUUCCCACCGUGAAGCAUGGAGGAGGAGUUGUGAUGUUGUGGAGGUGCUUUGCCGGUAACACUGUUUGAUUUAUUUAGAAUUUAAAGCACACUUAACCAGCAUGGAUACCGCAGCAUUCUGCAGCGAUACACCAUCCCAUCUGUUUUGCGCUUAGUGGGACUAUCAUUUGUUUUUCAUCAGGACAGUGAUCCAAAAACACACCUCCAGUCUGUGUUAGGGCUAUUUGACAAAGAAGGAGAGUGAUGGAGUGAGUGCUGCAUCAGAUGACCUGGCCUCCACAAUCACCCGACCUCAACCCAACUGAGAUGGUUUGGGAUAAGUUGGACCGCAGAGUGAAGGAAAAGCAGCCAACAAGUGCUCAGCAUAUGUGGGAACUCCUUCAAGACGGUUGGAAAAGCAUUCCUCUUGAAGCUGGUUGAGAGAAUACCAACAGUAUGCAAAGCUGUCAUCAGGGCAAAGGGUGGGUACUUUGAAGAUAUAAAAUAUUUAACACUGUUUUGGUUACUACAUGAUUCCAUGUGUUAAUUCAUAGUUUUGAUGUCCUCACUAUUAUUCUACAAUGUAGAAAAUUGUGAAAAUAAAGAAAAACCCUUCAGUGAGUACAGUUGGUGUGUCCACACUAUGGACUGGUACCAUAUAUUCAUACUUCACCCUAUCAGUCUUCCGAGAUGAUGUGGAGAACACAUCCUGUUUGAGCGUAGAAUACAGCAGCAACUGCAAAAAUAUGUUUACACCAUAUUUUGUUGUAAUUUACUCAUUUAAUGGCACUUUUUUUUCACCUACAAGGAUCAACAAGGAGGCGUAUCUGUGUUUGUUUCUCUAUUUAGUGCACUUACUACCCCUUGAAAUAGGAGUGUUGUCGCCUGAGCUUUUUAGUAGUCUGGACUGUGUGUGGUGUGACUUUUGUACCUGAGGAGUCUAUAGGCUAAGAUGUCUUCCUUUUUUUCACAAAUUCUAUUUUUAAUGUUUUAUCUUACAAACAUUUACAAUUUCAACAAGUUUUAGAUAAAUCUUUGUUCUGAAAAUGUACCAUAAUAGACUGGAUACAAAACAUUUGGUGAUUGUUUAUGGUGAGGAGAAUAAUUAGUUAUGUUCUAAAUGAGAAAAUGUUUUUCCUAUGUUGAAGUUGAUCUGAUCAGAAGCUAUAUCCUAUAACUAGGGAGGCACCACACCUUUGAAUCUGAACUGUUAAAAAAAUGUUUUUUUAAGUGUUGUUUACCUGUGCAUUAUUACCCCUCAACUAAUUAAUAAAAAUGUUGUUGACUAAGUUUGACUGUUGCCAUUAUAUAUACAGUACUACACGAUUCUAUAUGCGUUAUUUCAUAGUUUUGAUGUCUUCACUAUUAUUCUACAAUGUAGAAAAUAGUAAAAAAUAAAUAUAAACCCUUGAAUGAGUAGGUGUGGCCAAACUGUUGACUGGUACUGUAUAUAAUACUGUACAUGAAUCACAUGACAUGACAGUGUCAUGUACCUCAACCAGUAAUGCGGGGCCGUCACAUAUUUUAUUCCCUGCCACCAGUGGUGUAAAGUACUUAAGUAAAAAUACUUUAA